UUUAUAUAUUAUACUUUUAUAUACUUUAUUCUGUUCAAAAUAUUUUCUAAUUAUCCUGGUAAUUUUUUAUUUGAUCUAUGAGUUAUUUAUAAGUGUAUUGUUUAAGUUUGAAGUAUUCAGGGCUUUUCUAGCAAUUAGUGACGUCUUUUCAUUCUGGCUUCCCUAGCUCUGAACCCUAUAACAUGUGAUCUUUGCAGGGCCCUGGGUAAUCUUGUCUUGCAGUCCAACUAUGGUAGCCUGACUUCUAAGGUGGCUCUCAAUGGUCCUUCCACCUCCUGAUCUACAUGCCCUUACAGAAAGAAUCCUUUCCCUUUGAGUAUGGGCUGGACCUAACGACUUGUUUCUAAUCAACAGAAUACAACAAAGGUAAUAGCAUAUUGCUUCUGUAAUUAGGUUAUAACAUAUCAUCGCUUCUGUUUUGCUAGCAGACUUGUUGGCUUUGAUGAGCAAGCUGCCAUGUUGAAGAAGCCUAUAUGGCAAGGAACUGAGGGUAGCCUCAAGCCAACAGCUAACAAGGAACAAGCACUUAGUCCAACAGCCCUCAAGGAACUGAAUCUUUCCAACAAUAAGAAAGUGAAUUUGGAAGAGAAUCCUCCCCAGUUGAGCUUUCAGGUAUGCUAUGGUCUGAAUGUUUGUGUCUCCUCAAAAUUCAUGUGGUAAAAUCUGAAUCCCCAAAGUGAUGGUAGUAGCAGGUGGGGCCUUUGGGAGGUGAUUAUGUAAUGAGAAUGGAGCCCUCAAGAAUGGAAUUAAUGUUCUUAUGGAAAGAACUCAUAAGAGAACUCUUGCCGCACCAUGUGAAGACACAGCAAUUGGACACAAAAUUCCUGACUACUCAACAAUCAGCUCUCAAGACUCCAGCAUACUGCGAUGGCCUCAAGGUUGGUGCCCAGGACCUUCAGCUGCCUGUCAGAAGGAUCUUUGCAGAGAACUGCACUUUGUUCUGAGUGCCACAUACAAGAUACCUAGAGAAUGUUUUGAAGGCUUGUAAGAUGAACUGCAAAGAUGAUAAAAUGAUCAGUGGACACACUGGAAGUUGGAAGAUAACUGAUCAACUGUCACUGCCAACAUUACUGGUCUGCUUCUUCACAUCCAUACUUUGGAGAUGAAGAGUAGUACUGAAGUAGUACUGUGCUAUGACAGUGGACAAUCCAUUUUAAUGAAAACCUCUCUACUCCCCUCCACAUACUGAAGUUGUGACUUUGGUGGGAGGUUUUGGUAUGCCAUCCUGAGAGGAAAAUGUCUCAAACAUCCUUUGCUACUCUAAGUGUGAUUCCUGGACAAGAAAUACCAGCAUUACCUCGGAACUUGUUAGAAAUGCAAAAUAUCAGGCCCAAAUCCAGAGGUAAGGAGUUACCACCUGCAGUAUAACAAGACACCCAGGUGAUUCUAUGGAUCUAAAGACUGAGAAUUGUUGUUUUAAGCUAGAGUGAACAGGAGUGUAUAGUUUGAAAAUGCUUUUUUAUAGUUAUUUACAUGUUUUUUGAAAACAGCAUUACUGAGCUAUAUUUCACAUACCAAACAAUUCACCCACUUAAAGUGUGUUAUUCAGUGGUUUUUAAUAUAUUCAGAGUUGUGCAAUCAUCACCACAGUCCAUUUUAGAACACUUUCAUCUCCCCAACAAGAAAUCCAAUAGCCACAGCUGUUAUUCUCCAUUUCCCCUUCAUCCCUAGGAAACUGCUAAUUUACUUUCUGUCUCUAUGGAUUUGCCUGUCCAAGACAUUCCAUCCAUAUAAAUGGAAUCAUACAAUAUGUGGUGUUUUGUG
Molecule: long non-coding RNA, 1764 nt
Filed under: Homo sapiens (human)
Lineage: Eukaryota; Metazoa; Chordata; Mammalia; Primates; Hominidae
Description: HSALNT0141317
Source: RNAcentral